CGAGGCCCUGUAAUUGGAAUGAGUCCAC
Molecule: non-coding RNA, 28 nt
Filed under: Drosophila melanogaster (fruit fly)
Lineage: Eukaryota; Metazoa; Arthropoda; Insecta; Diptera; Drosophilidae
Also listed under: 5 other names
Source: RNAcentral